This 76-nucleotide transfer RNA is filed under the name Helicobacteraceae bacterium. Its description in RNAcentral is "tRNA-Ala". It matches the Rfam family "tRNA". Rfam says of the family: Transfer RNA (tRNA) molecules are approximately 80 nucleotides in length. Their secondary structure includes four short double-helical elements and three loops (D, anti-codon, and T loops). Lineage: Bacteria; Pseudomonadati; Campylobacterota; Epsilonproteobacteria; Campylobacterales; Helicobacteraceae. The record is from RNAcentral.
GGGGCUAUAGCUCAGCUGGGAGAGCGCUUGCAUGGCAUGCAAGAGGUCGGCGGUUCGAUCCCGCUUGGCUCCACCA